This 259-nucleotide ribosomal RNA is filed under the name uncultured Lactobacillus sp. Its description in RNAcentral is "partial 16S ribosomal RNA". It matches the Rfam family "Bacterial small subunit ribosomal RNA", at positions 61 to 297 of the family's 1533-position model. The record is from RNAcentral. Lineage: Bacteria; Bacillati; Bacillota; Bacilli; Lactobacillales; Lactobacillaceae.
CUUGCCUAGAUGAAUUUGGUGCUUGCACCAAAUGAAACUAGAUACAAGCGAGCGGCGGACGGGUGAGUAACACGUGGGUAACCUGCCCAAGAGACUGGGAUAACACCUGGAAACAGAUGCUAAUACCGGAUAACAACACUAGACGCAUGUCUAGAGUUUAAAAGAUGGUUCUGCUAUCACUCUUGGAUGGACCUGCGGUGCAUUAGCUAGUUGGUAAGGUAACGGCUUACCAAGGCAAUGAUGCAUAGCCGAGUUGAGA